This is a microRNA precursor of Prunus persica (peach), 145 nucleotides long. It matches the Rfam family "mir-399 microRNA precursor family". From Rfam's summary of the family: mir-399 was identified in both Arabidopsis thaliana and Oryza sativa computationally and was later experimentally verified. mir-399 is thought to target mRNAs coding for a phosphatase transporter. The mature sequence is excised from the 3' arm of the hairpin. Lineage: Eukaryota; Viridiplantae; Streptophyta; Magnoliopsida; Rosales; Rosaceae. The record is from Rfam.
GGCUGCAUUACUGGGCAAUUACUCCUUUGGCAGUUGACUGCUUGCUGGCCUUCUGCUGCAUAUAUAUAAAUGUUACGUUGCAGUUUGUAUAUAGAGUGAGAGUAGCUAGCUCACUGCCAAAGGAGAUUUGCCCGGCAAUUCAUCU